UCAUAUAGAAAUUUAGAAUCACAAAUCAUUUACAAGGGGCACAGAGCCUUGGUGGCACACAACAUAUUAAAUUCCACUUAAUCCCACAAGAUAUUAGUCAGUUAUAAUAAUUUGGAUAUCAAGAUUUUGCUUUCAGCUACAAAUUGGCCUUUGAAAAAGCCUCUACAACUUAAAAUUACAUCUCACCAGCUAGCAAGUAUUUAAUUCAAAUGAAUUAUUGGCUUUCCCCUUGUUGUUCUGCAAUAGAUUGUAGU
Molecule: long non-coding RNA, 254 nt
Filed under: Elaeis guineensis (African oil palm)
Lineage: Eukaryota; Viridiplantae; Streptophyta; Magnoliopsida; Arecales; Arecaceae
Description: long non-coding RNA (EGUI_LNC069346)
Source: RNAcentral